AUUUACCAGGUGGUCGCUUGGUGUCCUCCGUUGCAAUUGUUGCGUAAUCUCCAGCUGCAGUACUUUUCCAUUUGCUACUGAGGAGAAACCCAACUGCCACGAAGGAUUUAUCAUCGAAUAGAUAUGUGAAAAACACCUUGAGGAUGAUUCUAAACAACGUUUGCCAUGUUUCUGUCGAUAUUAUGGAGUUAAUUUGGAAAAAAGUUUGGCAUUGUAGUGAAUGAAUUUUCGUUGUUUGUUUUCUUAGCCAAAAGUGAUGAACAAAACGGAGCGAUUUCUCCUACACAAAUAAUCUUUUUGGAAAAAAUGAACAUUUGCUAUCUAACUGAGAGUCUCCUCAUUGAAAACAUCCGAAGUUCUUCAAAGCCAAGCAGGAUGAACAAACGUGACGUUUUUCGCCUACAAAAAUAUUAUUUUUGGAAAAAAGGAACAUUUGCUAUUUAACUGGGAGUCUCCUGAGUGAAAGCAUCUGAAGUUCUUCAAAGCAUGGGGCAUACUUCAAGCCAGCAUACUGAUGACUUGAGCCUCAUAUGACAUUGGCCCUAUAAACCAUCCAAAGUAAAAGAACAUUGAAACUUUUCAAAUCACCAAUUAACCAAUAUGGAAAGGAAAUGUUGGUGUAUUACCUCCUGGGACGUUCCAUUUUAUCUGUU
Molecule: long non-coding RNA, 653 nt
Organism: Oncorhynchus tshawytscha (Chinook salmon)
Lineage: Eukaryota; Metazoa; Chordata; Actinopteri; Salmoniformes; Salmonidae
Source: Ensembl